UACGGGGGGGAGCAAGCGUUGUUCGGAUUUACUGGGCGUAAAGGGCGCGUAGGCGGUCGUGACAAGUCACUUGUGAAAUCUCCGGGCUUAACUCGGAACGGUCAAGUGAUACUGUCGGGCUAGAGUACAGAAGGGGCAACUGGAAUUCUCGGUGUAGCGGUGAAAUGCGUAGAUAUCGAGAGGGAACACCUGCGGCGAAGGCGGGUUGC
RNAcentral lists this ribosomal RNA (209 nucleotides) under uncultured bacterium. RNAcentral's name for it is "partial 16S ribosomal RNA". It matches the Rfam family "Bacterial small subunit ribosomal RNA", at positions 524 to 729 of the family's 1533-position model. The record is from RNAcentral.